Long non-coding RNA from Triticum dicoccoides, 973 nucleotides. RefSeq lists it as uncharacterized. The transcript is spliced from 5 exons. The record is from RefSeq and is a predicted model, not a curated record. NCBI's taxonomy places the organism in Eukaryota, Viridiplantae, Streptophyta, Magnoliopsida, Poales, Poaceae.
UGAGAUCAAAUUCAACGGAGAUGGCGGUUGUCAGGCCUAUGGGAUUCGAUUUUCUGUUUACUUUUUGAGAAUGGCAUGUUUGGUAUCCAGUACAAAACUUACUCUGCAACUUGGAUCUCAUUGGCUCAUCAUGAGAUAUAUACUGGAUAUGUCCCUAUGGAUUACAGAGAAUGUCUUAAGAAGAUGCCAAUGAAUGGAGAGUGGGGUUAUCAUGUUAUGCUGCAGGCCGCCGUGGACAUGGGUGGUGCCGGGUGCGUGGCUGUUGUUCCUUCGGAUUGGCCGGCCUACCUCGUGGGUGUCCAUCUCAGGUGCUCUUCUUCGCCGUCUACUCGAUGCACUGCAUGCCCUGCAGCCAACACUCUUUUCAUCUUUUUACGAGUCAUGAUGUGUUAUUUCCUUUGAAAUGGAUGAUUUGUUUAUAUGUGUUUCAUAAUCUGCUUUGAAUUGUACGACUGACUGCUUACUAGUGUGGAUUAUACAUGUUUGAUUCUCUGCUUUCAACUCUACGGGUGUUGUGGCGACCGCGACGGCGGCGGGUCUGCACGUGUUCGUGGUGCCGAGGGGGGGGAGCCGCUGCCGCCGCCGCCACCUCUACGUGGUACCUCUUCGACGAUGAGGCGGCACUGGUCGUGUCCUGGGCCACCCUGCCCAACAGGGAGCUGUUGUGCUGCCUGCUGCAGCUGGACGUCGGGUGGUGCGCCUGCGUCGUCGUCUGGGAGAAGGCCACUGGUGCAGGAGGGGUGGCGCUCUAUACCAACUCGGUAUGAGUUUGCCUUGCUCGGAUCAAAGCAUUAGGCCGAGGAAAAUGAAGAACGCAAGUUUGCCUCCUGGGGUGGCAGUCCUGCGAUGUUGGUGUGGCGAUCUUUGCAAGGUGAAGGAGGUGACGGAUUUUUCAGAUUGGUUGGGCAUGAAGUUUUUCAUGUGCGCCAAUUAUGAGGAAGAUCCUGCCGUAGCUAUUUCAGAGUACGACAAG